Molecule: long non-coding RNA, 1280 nt
Organism: Esox lucius (northern pike)
Lineage: Eukaryota; Metazoa; Chordata; Actinopteri; Esociformes; Esocidae
Source: Ensembl
CUGUUUUGACAGUUAUUUAAGUUUUAAUCAGCACACCACAAAACUUGUGCAAUCAUGUUUUUACCAUCUUACAAUUAUAUCAAAAAUAUGAUCAGUAUUAAGUUUGAAUGACACUGAAACCAUUUUACAUGCUUUUAUUUAAUCACAACUGGAUUACUCCAACAGCCUUUUUACUUGUUUAACCCCAAAAUCUAUUGAUCAACUCCAGACUUUACAGAACUCAGCUGCCAGGCUUUUAACCAGAACCAAGAAACAUGAUCAAAAGACCCCAUGUAUGCUGCUAGUCCAGUAGCUAGAGUGGCUAAUACCUUGGCCAGAGCAUAACCGGUUAUCUUCACCCAAGAAACCUACUGUUGGUCAAUCGUUUUGGUUUUAAAGGUCAAUGCAUUGUUAGUCACAAUGUUUAGUUACUGGGCCAAAAGGAAAAUAAUAUUAAAAAGAUUUGAGGGACAAACAGGACAUUCACUUGAAUCACUACAUGCUACAGAAGUUGUAUCGAUUCCAGAAAACCAGGAAAAUGUUGAGCCAUCUGUAGACUUCAGAGCUGAACCAGGUUUCUCCCCAGUAAUCCAGACUCCACUUCACAGAGCCAAGAGUUUGAGUACAAGGCACUUGACUUUCUGGAUAAAAGGUGUCGAGCUCGUCAAGUACUAAGCUUUACACCACCAGCAGCAAAUUUACCCUGGCAGCAUAUGGGUGAAAACGCUGGAGAUUUCCAGUGACUCCAGAAUGAAAACCAAGCUCUGAGGGACGAGAACCAAGCCCUGAGGGAAUGCAUUGCACAAGCAGCUUCGGGUUGACAGCGGCUCACUUCAAGAGCAGGUGAAGCAAGUAGGGACAAUGUUGAAGACGUUUGCUCUCACUGGGCAAUCAGGUGCGUUAUCUGAAAGGAGCAUCUGACCGUGAAGGCAGAAAAAGCCGCACAGCUGAGAAGGACCCACAGCCGACCCCUUAAACCUAGGCUGACUACUGACACCCCAGCAUCACUGAACUGGAACACUUUCUUUAUCCUGCAGUCAGUAACAUCAAGAAGCCAGAAGUGCCAGACUACACUCACCAAAUCCACCCUGUUUUUAUUUUUUUGUAUUUUAACUUUAGUAUUGGCUUAUUUCAUUCCGUCUUAACGAUUCUAUUAUAGUUUGUAAAUCCUAUUUCAUACCUGUUACUUGAUAUUGCACAUUAACUAGUACCAAAAUUCUACUUUCAUUUCAUCAGUGUGCUUAACUGUUAUUCUAUUAAUAAUAGCUUGGAAAUACUAUUUACUACCUCUGAUACUUGAU